GGGGAUGUAGCUCAGUGGCACAGUGCCUGCCUGAAAAGCAUGAGAUUGUGAGUUCUAUCCCCA
RNAcentral lists this transfer RNA (63 nucleotides) under Cavia porcellus (domestic guinea pig). It matches the Rfam family "tRNA", at positions 1 to 62 of the family's 71-position model. From Rfam's summary of the family: Transfer RNA (tRNA) molecules are approximately 80 nucleotides in length. Lineage: Eukaryota; Metazoa; Chordata; Mammalia; Rodentia; Caviidae. The record is from Rfam by way of RNAcentral.